UAGUAUAAUUACAUCCACAUUCGAUUUCCACUUGAUAACCAUAGUUAGUUCGUUGUCCUAGCUAUGUACUUAGUUCACUUAGACAAAUUAGUUUUCUGUUGUGAGUCAAUUUUUUUGUUAGAGUUGUUGUAACAACUUUUCUCUACCAUGUAAUUUUUCUUGACUCUAUAAAUAAAAUCUUAUACAUUAAGAAGGUUUCUAAGUUGAAAAGCAAUACUUCUGGCUGAUUUUCCAAUCCUCAAUCUCUUAAUAGCUAUUGUUUUCAUAAGCUCAUUCAUGGUAUCAAGAGCCCUAGACUAACAUCAACACGGAUUCUUCAGCUCAUAUCUCUCUUUCUUCGACCGAUCAGCCCUCUGCUCCUCCAGAGGUGACAACGACCUUUUCUUCCUUGACCGAUUCAACCUUUAUUCCUCUUCAGGCGAGGACAACGGUUCAAGCUUUUCAGGCGGCGACCCCUGAUCGAUAGCCAAUCCCAUGUCCUUUCACGCAUGGAAUCCAUUUUCCAAUUCUCUUACUUCGUCUCUCACGAUCAAACUUGAUCGAUCUAACUUUCUUGCUUGGAAAUCACAGGUUGUUCCUACUGUAAUUGGUCACGAUCUUGAUGCACUUCUUUUCAGUAGUGUUACCCCAACUCAGCAAUUAGUCACUGGAGAAGCUAAUCUUGAGUAAAUUCAAUGGAAAAGAAAGGAUCAACUCCUUCUGUCUUGGCUCACAUCUUGUAUGACCGAAGGGAUUCUUGCAUUUGUUGCUACAUACACCACUUCUGCUUCUGUGUGGCGUGCUCUUGAACACAAGUUCUCUAGUCAAUCAAAGGCUCGCUUUCUGCAGCUUAAUGGUCAAAUAACCAAUAUUCAGAAAGGUAAUCUUUCCAUUUCUAAUUAUGUUGACAAAUUUAAACUGAUCUGUUACAAUUUAGCAAGUGCUGGAUGUUAUGUUGUUGAUGACGAUCUAGUUUUACAACUCCUGAAUGGUCUUGGACCUGAAUUUGAUUUGGUGGUGUCGGGUAUCACUUCUCGUGGCGAUUCUUUAAAUCUUGAGCAAUAUAGGCAUUGCUAAUGGCUUAUGAGAGUCAUCUUGAACGUCAUCAUAAAAUGGAAGAUCUCUCCAAUAAAAUGGGUGUGAACCUUACUUUUGGUGCUUCAAGAAAUGGGUCCUCUGGUGAUUACAAGACCAAUUCCACUCUAGUAGGGGUGCUCUCUAUGAUUCUGCUUGAAGAACCUAUGGUCGAAGCUACUCUCGUGGUCCUCCUCCCCCAACAAGACCAAUAUGUCAAGCGUGUUUGAAAUUUGGUCAUACAACUGUCGUGUGCCACUACAGGUUUGACAAAGGCUUCAUUACUCUCAAAGCUGAAACCACUCAACAUCGGGCGUAUCUAACUGAGCAAGAACUUGACCAUGAUCCCCAGGCCUAUGUCACCUUUUCGGUGCCAGAUUUUGGUGAUGAUGGUGGUUGGUAUGAAAAUACUGGUGCAACUAAUCACGUUGCUUAUGCCAUGGAACACUUGGAUUCUGCAGUCCCAUAUAAUGGCAAUGAAACCUUAGUUUUUGGGAAUGGACAAGUAGUCGGGGAGUGUCAUGCACAAAUGGAGAGUUAGAGAUGGGUUGUAUAUGCUUGGUGAGGAUUCUCAAAGUUAAAAGAAGGACUUCUUUGUAGUGUAAUCUUGCAACACGGUCAAAGCCCAGUUCAACCUCUUGUCUUCAUUCCACUCCACUGCCUGAGUCUUGUUUAGUUUCUAAUGGUAAAAAAUGUUGUAAGCAUUAUGUUCCCAAUUCAGAUUGUAAUGAUACUUCUAUUAUUAAAGAACACAGUUCCACUUUCUGUGUUGAUUCACAACCAAAAUUAUACUCUUGUUCUAUCACCCAAGAUGUUAAUAUAUGGCAUUGUAAACUUGGGCAUCCUUGUUCUGGAGUUUUAAGAAAAAUCUUGUCUCUUAUUCCUCA
Long non-coding RNA from Humulus lupulus (European hop), 1940 nucleotides. RefSeq lists it as uncharacterized. The record is from RefSeq and is a predicted model, not a curated record. NCBI's taxonomy places the organism in Eukaryota, Viridiplantae, Streptophyta, Magnoliopsida, Rosales, Cannabaceae. The transcript has 2 exons.